Molecule: ribosomal RNA, 1390 nt
Filed under: Klebsiella sp.
Lineage: Bacteria; Pseudomonadati; Pseudomonadota; Gammaproteobacteria; Enterobacterales; Enterobacteriaceae
Description: bacterial SSU rRNA
Rfam family: Bacterial small subunit ribosomal RNA
Source: RNAcentral
UCGAGCGGUAGCACAGAGAGCUUGCUCUCGGGUGACGAGCGGCGGACGGGUGAGUAAUGUCUGGGAAACUGCCUGAUGGAGGGGGAUAACUACUGGAAACGGUAGCUAAUACCGCAUAAUGUCGCAAGACCAAAGUGGGGGACCUUCGGGCCUCAUGCCAUCAGAUGUGCCCAGAUGGGAUUAGCUAGUAGGUGGGGUAACGGCUCACCUAGGCGACGAUCCCUAGCUGGUCUGAGAGGAUGACCAGCCACACUGGAACUGAGACACGGUCCAGACUCCUACGGGAGGCAGCAGUGGGGAAUAUUGCACAAUGGGCGCAAGCCUGAUGCAGCCAUGCCGCGUGUGUGAAGAAGGCCUUCGGGUUGUAAAGCACUUUCAGCGGGGAGGAAGGCGUUAAGGUUAAUAACCUUGGCGAUUGACGUUACCCGCAGAAGAAGCACCGGCUAACUCCGUGCCAGCAGCCGCGGUAAUACGGAGGGUGCAAGCGUUAAUCGGAAUUACUGGGCGUAAAGCGCACGCAGGCGGUCUGUCAAGUCGGAUGUGAAAUCCCCGGGCUCAACCUGGGAACUGCAUUCGAAACUGGCAGGCUAGAGUCUUGUAGAGGGGGGGUAGAAUUCCAGGUGUAGCGGUGAAAUGCGUAGAGAUCUGGAGGAAUACCGGUGGCGAAGGCGGCCCCCUGGACAAAGACUGACGCUCAGGUGCGAAAGCGUGGGGAGCAAACAGGAUUAGAUACCCUGGUAGUCCACGCCGUAAACGAUGUCGAUUUGGAGGUUGUGCCCUUGAGGCGUGGCUUCCGGAGCUAACGCGUUAAAUCGACCGCCUGGGGAGUACGGCCGCAAGGUUAAAACUCAAAUGAAUUGACGGGGGCCCGCACAAGCGGUGGAGCAUGUGGUUUAAUUCGAUGCAACGCGAAGAACCUUACCUGGUCUUGACAUCCACAGAACUUAGCAGAGAUGGUUUGGUGCCUUCGGGAACUGUGAGACAGGUGCUGCAUGGCUGUCGUCAGCUCGUGUUGUGAAAUGUUGGGUUAAGUCCCGCAACGAGCGCAACCCUUAUCCUUUGUUGCCAGCGGUUAGGCCGGGAACUCAAAGGAGACUGCCAGUGAUAAACUGGAGGAAGGUGGGGAUGACGUCAAGUCAUCAUGGCCCUUACGACCAGGGCUACACACGUGCUACAAUGGCAUAUACAAAGAGAAGCGACCUCGCGAGAGCAAGCGGACCUCAUAAAGUAUGUCGUAGUCCGGAUUGGAGUCUGCAACUCGACUCCAUGAAGUCGGAAUCGCUAGUAAUCGUAGAUCAGAAUGCUACGGUGAAUACGUUCCCGGGCCUUGUACACACCGCCCGUCACACCAUGGGAGUGGGUUGCAAAAGAAGUAGGUAGCUUAACCUCG